Molecule: non-coding RNA, 28 nt
Filed under: Callithrix jacchus (white-tufted-ear marmoset)
Lineage: Eukaryota; Metazoa; Chordata; Mammalia; Primates; Cebidae
Also listed under: 2 other names
Source: RNAcentral
UAGGACUGUGACAUUUAUUUUCCAAAGU